UAACUUUGAGCGGUGGAUCACUCG
Molecule: ribosomal RNA, 24 nt
Filed under: Oxychilus meridionalis
Lineage: Eukaryota; Metazoa; Mollusca; Gastropoda; Stylommatophora; Oxychilidae
Description: partial 5.8S ribosomal RNA
Source: RNAcentral